GUCUUUUUGGAGGUAUAAAAAGUCAGACCUGCCCACUGAUUUUUUUAAGGGCCGCGGUAUUUUGACCGUGUGAAGGUAGCGUAAUCAUUAGGUUUUUAAUUGGAAUCUUGUAUGAAUGGUUAGACAAGAGAAAUUCUGUCUCUUUAUUAGUGUUGAAUUUAACUUUUAAGUGAAAAGGCUUAAAUUUGUUAGAGGGACGAUAAGACCCUAUAAAGCUUGAUAUUUAUAUGUUAUUAAAUUUAAUUGGGCAUAAAAAUCUUAUAAUAUAUUUUAUUUUAUUGGGGAGAUAAGAGUAAAAUGUUUAAUAACUGCUCAAGUGUAGUUACAUUUUUGAUUGAGUUUAUAGUCAAUAAAGAUCCUGUUAUAGAGAUUAUAAGUUUAAGUUACUUUAGGGAUAACAGCGUUAUUUUUUUUGAGAGUACGUAUCGAAAAAAAAGUUUGCGACCUCGAUGUUGAAUUAAAAUUUCUUUAUAGAAGCAGAAACUAUAAAAGUGGGUCUGUUCGACCUAUAAAAUUUUACAUGAUUUGAGUUCAGACCGGCGCAAG
RNAcentral lists this ribosomal RNA (546 nucleotides) under Chaenostoma boscii. RNAcentral describes it as "partial 16S rRNA". It matches the Rfam family "Archaeal large subunit ribosomal RNA", at positions 1921 to 2694 of the family's 2987-position model. The record is from RNAcentral. Lineage: Eukaryota; Metazoa; Arthropoda; Malacostraca; Decapoda.